RNAcentral lists this transfer RNA (72 nucleotides) under Camelus bactrianus (Bactrian camel). It matches the Rfam family "tRNA". From Rfam's summary of the family: Transfer RNA (tRNA) molecules are approximately 80 nucleotides in length. Their secondary structure includes four short double-helical elements and three loops (D, anti-codon, and T loops). Lineage: Eukaryota; Metazoa; Chordata; Mammalia; Artiodactyla; Camelidae. RNAcentral also lists the same sequence under 2 other names. The record is from Rfam by way of RNAcentral.
GAGGGUAUAGCUCAGUGGGAGAGCAUGUGCUUUGCAUGCAUGAGGUCCUGGGUUCAAUCACCAGUACCUCCA